UACGGAGGGUGCGAGCGUUGUCCGGAUUUAUUGGGUUUAAAGGGUGCGUAGGCGGCCUUUUAAGUCCGGGGUGAAAGCCCGUUGCUCAACAACGGAACUGCCCUGGAUACUGGAAGGCUUGAGUACAGACGAGGUUGGCGGAAUGGACCGAGUAGCGGUGAAAUGCAUAGAUACGGUCCAGAACCCCGAUUGCGAAGGCAGCUGACUAGGCUGUUACUGACGCUGAGGCACGAAAGCGUGGGGAGCGAACAGGAUUAGAUACCCUGGUAGUCCACGCCGUAAACGAUGGAUACUCGCUGCGAGCUAAAGAUUGUUCGUGGCUUAGGGAAACCGAUAAGUAUCCCACCUGGGGAGUACGCCGGCAACGGUGAA
RNAcentral lists this ribosomal RNA (372 nucleotides) under uncultured bacterium. RNAcentral's name for it is "bacterial SSU rRNA". It matches the Rfam family "Bacterial small subunit ribosomal RNA", at positions 524 to 898 of the family's 1533-position model. The record is from RNAcentral.